Molecule: ribosomal RNA, 525 nt
Filed under: fungal sp. EN25
Lineage: Eukaryota; Fungi
Description: eukaryotic LSU rRNA
Rfam family: 5.8S ribosomal RNA (bases 184-337)
Source: RNAcentral
CCUGCGGAGGGAUCAUUACACAAAUAUGAAGGCGGGCUGGAAUCUCUCGGGGUUACAGCCUUGCUGAAUUAUUCACCCUUGUCUUUUGCGUACUUCUUGUUUCCUUGGUGGGUUCGCCCACCACUAGGACAAACAUAAACCUUUUGUAAUUGCAAUCAGCGUCAGUAACAAAUUAAUAAUUACAACUUUCAACAACGGAUCUCUUGGUUCUGGCAUCGAUGAAGAACGCAGCGAAAUGCGAUAAGUAGUGUGAAUUGCAGAAUUCAGUGAAUCAUCGAAUCUUUGAACGCACAUUGCGCCCUUUGGUAUUCCAAAGGGCAUGCCUGUUCGAGCGUCAUUUGUACCCUCAAGCUUUGCUUGGUGUUGGGCGUCUUGUCUCUAGCUUUGCUGGAGACUCGCCUUAAAGUAAUUGGCAGCCGGCCUACUGGUUUCGGAGCGCAGCACAAGUCGCACUCUCUAUCAGCAAAGGUCUAGCAUCCAUUAAGCCUUUUUUCAACUUUUGACCUCGGAUCAGGUAGGAUCCCG